CUCCAUCCGGCUUCCAAUCCGUCCGCCCCGCGGCGCCUGGGCCGAGUGCUGCUCGCUGGCCUGGCCCGCACCUCCCCAAAGUUACCUGCUGGCUUUGCAGCGCGGUAGAGACGUUCCCCUCGACUCCUUGGGAGCGAGGAGCCAGGGGGGUCCCGGCAGGCACUCGUCCUUGCUCCCCCCACCCUCCCCAGAUCUCUAUGGACCCGGGAGUCCCUCGCUGAGCCCCGC
Molecule: long non-coding RNA, 228 nt
Filed under: Homo sapiens (human)
Lineage: Eukaryota; Metazoa; Chordata; Mammalia; Primates; Hominidae
Description: LHRI_LNC1977.1
Source: RNAcentral